GGCGGACGGGUGAGUAAUGCCUAGGAAUCUGCCUGAUAGUGGGGGACAACGUUUCGAAAGGAACGCUAAUACCGCAUACGUCCUACGGGAGAAAGCAGGGGACCUUCGGGCCUUGCGCUAUCAGAUGAGCCUAGGUCGGAUUAGCUAGUUGGUGAGGUAAUGGCUCACCAAGGCGACGAUCCGUAACUGGUCUGAGAGGAUGAUCAGUCACACUGGAACUGAGACACGGUCCAGACUCCUACGGGAGGCAGCAGUGGGGAAUAUUGGACAAUGGGCGAAAGCCUGAUCCAGCCAUGCCGCGUGUGUGAAGAAGGUCUUCGGAUUGUAAAGCACUUUAAGUUGGGAGGAAGGGCAUUAACCUAAUACGUUAGUGUUUUGACGUUACCGACAGAAUAAGCACCGGCUAACUUCGUGCCAGCAGCCGCGGUAAUACGAAGGGUGCAAGCGUUAAUCGGAAUUACUGGGCGUAAAGCGCGCGUAGGUGGUUUGUUAAGUUGAAUGUGAAAGCCCCGGGCUCAACCUGGGAACUGCAUCCAAAACUGGCAAGCUAGAGUAUGGCAGAGGGUGGUGGAAUUUCCUGUGUAGCGGUGAAAUGCGUAGAUAUAGGAAGGAACACCAGUGGCGAAGGCGACCACCUGGGCUGAUACUGACGCUGAGGUGCGAAAGCGUGGGGAGCAAACAGGAUUAGAUACCCUGGUAGUCCACGCCGUAAACGAUGUC
Molecule: ribosomal RNA, 720 nt
Filed under: uncultured bacterium
Lineage: Bacteria
Description: bacterial SSU rRNA
Rfam family: Bacterial small subunit ribosomal RNA
Source: RNAcentral